UAAAACGUAGGGUGCAAGCGUUAUCCGGAUUUAUUGGGCGUAAAGGGUUUCGUAGGCGGUGGAGUAAGUAGUCAGUUAAAGCCUUCGGCUCAACCGAAGAAAUGCUGACUAAACUGCUCUACUUGAGGUCGUUAGGGGGUGCUGGAAUUCCUGGUGGAGGGGUGAAAUCCAUUGAUAUCAGGAAGAACGCCGAGAGCGAAGGCAGGCACCUGGGGCGAUCCUGACGCUGAUGAACGAAAGCUAGGGGAGCGAAAGGGAUUAGAGACCCCUGUAGUCCUAGCCGUAAACGAUGGACGCUAGAUGGGUCGAGAUUUCGACCUGUCGUAAGCUAACGCGUUAAGCGUCCCGCCUGGGAAGUACGGCCGCAAGGCUA
RNAcentral lists this ribosomal RNA (373 nucleotides) under uncultured bacterium. RNAcentral's name for it is "bacterial SSU rRNA". It matches the Rfam family "Bacterial small subunit ribosomal RNA", at positions 521 to 896 of the family's 1533-position model. The record is from RNAcentral.